This 505-nucleotide ribosomal RNA is filed under the name uncultured bacterium. RNAcentral describes it as "partial 16S ribosomal RNA". It matches the Rfam family "Bacterial small subunit ribosomal RNA", at positions 28 to 507 of the family's 1533-position model. The record is from RNAcentral.
GACGAACGCUGGCGGCGUGCCUAAUACAUGCAAGUAGAACGCACAGUUUAUACCGUAGCUUGCUACACCAUAGACUGUGAGUUGCGAACGGGUGAGUAACGCGUAGGUAACCUGCCUGGUAGCGGGGGAUAACUAUUGGAAACGAUAGCUAAUACCGCAUAAUAUUAAUUAUUGCAUGAUAAUUAAUUGAAAGGUGCAAUUGCACCACUACCAGAUGGACCUGCGUUGUAUUAGCUAGUAGGUGAGGUAACGGCUCACCUAGGCGACGAUACAUAGCCGACCUGAGAGGGUGAUCGGCCACACUGGGACUGAGACACGGCCCAGACUCCUACGGGAGGCAGCAGUAGGGAAGCUUCGGCAAUGGACGAAAGUCUGACCGAGCAACGCCGCGUGAGUGAAGAAGGUUUUCGGAUCGUAAAGCUCUGUUGUAAGAGAAGAACGGGUGUGAGAGUGGAAAGUUCACACUGUGACGGUAUCUUACCAGAAAGGGACGGCUAACUACGUG